AGAGUUUGAUCCUGGCUCAGGAUGAACGCUGGCGGCGUGCUUAACACAUGCAAGUCGAGCGAAGCGAAUCUUCGGAAGUUUUCGGAUGGAUUAGGAUUUGACUUAGCGGCGGACGGGUGAGUAACGCGUGGGUAACCUGCCUUACACUGGGGGAUAACAGUUAGAAAUGACUGCUAAUACCGCAUAAGCGCACAGGGCCGCAUGGUCUGGUGUGAAAAACUCCGGUGGUGUAAGAUGGACCCGCGUCUGAUUAGGUAGUUGGUGGGGUAACGGCCCACCAAGCCGACGAUCAGUAGCCGACCUGAGAGGGUGACCGGCCACAUUGGGACUGAAACACGGCCCAAACUCCCACGGGAGGCAGCAGUGGGGAAUAUUGGACAAUGGGCGAAAGCCUGAUCCAGCGACGCCGCGUGAGUGAAGAAGUAUUUCGGUAUGUAAAGCUCUAUCAACAGGGAAAAAAAUGACGGUACCUGACUAAGAAGCCCCGGCUUACUACGUGCCAACAGCCGCGGUAAUACGUAGGGGGCAAGCGUUAUCCGGAUUUACUGGGUGUAAAGGGAACGUAGACGGUUAGCAAGUCUGAAGUGAAAGCCCGGGGGCU
RNAcentral lists this ribosomal RNA (601 nucleotides) under uncultured bacterium. RNAcentral describes it as "bacterial SSU rRNA". It matches the Rfam family "Bacterial small subunit ribosomal RNA", at positions 8 to 610 of the family's 1533-position model. The record is from RNAcentral.